This 2767-nucleotide long non-coding RNA is filed under the name Triticum aestivum (bread wheat). RNAcentral's name for it is "long non-coding RNA (TAES_LNC013287)". The record is from RNAcentral. Lineage: Eukaryota; Viridiplantae; Streptophyta; Magnoliopsida; Poales; Poaceae.
UUUAUACAGUGGAGCUGCCCUGGUUAUCACUCAACAAGAAUGACCAUCCAAGGACAACAACAAGCAUCACAGGAUCAAAAAGGAUUCUAGAGACAAGAGGGAGGAUCCAACCUGAUACGCACAGGUGCCAUGAUUGCUCAAAGGCACACUUAUUUCAGCCACGAUUAAUCAUCAUCGCCCUAGCACGAACGCCACUGAUCAGUCUAGCAAAUCCAGGAGCAUAGCUAUAGGACCAGGGCAUCCACAUGUAAACCAGAGCAUCACAUGAGCUCCCAUGAUAGCAACUAAACAUGAACAACAGCCUGCAAACUCUAAAAUGGCAUGGAUCCACAACUACAUAGCUCAAGUAGGAACCGAUGGAUGAGUAGGGCAUAGAGCAUCAACCAAACGAGCCCCACAUCAAUAUAGUCAUGGCCAUAGCCCAUAAGAAGAUGGAGCUCACUGAGGGAGGUUGUAGCCGAGGCAGUACUCAGUGGGCAUCGGGGUUGCGCCUGAACGCCAUCCAGCCGACGAGGAACUACUUCCUACACCGCACAUCCAUGCCGUCGUCGGAGUUACGCCUUGCACUGUCCCACCGACGAGCACGGAUGCCACGGGCACCGAAGCGGCCAAGGAGCCUUAAGAGCACUGCAUGUGAGAUAAAAAGCCAAAACGAGAUAACCAGGUCAAAAUCCUAGCCGAGACUUUUAACGGUUCUGCAAAUUCGGUCCAAAUAGCAUGAAUAAGAAAAUGUACAACUGUUAUUCCAAAGACCUGGAAAGAAUUAACACUUCCACAAAAUCGAGAAAAUAAAAAUCAUGUAAUACUGCUUAUCAGCCGGUAUAUGGAUUGAAACUUACCUCAAAAUAAUGUAUGCAUUCAGAUUUAACUACGCAUGCUUUCAUCCCAGUUUUCUUCUAACCAGAUUGUCUAAGACACCAUACUCAAAAUGCUAAUUAAGAGAAUCAUGUGAACUAUCAUGAAACAAGACACGGACAACACCUUUGUAUCAUCUACUUUAAGCUGGAAUACAUCAGACUCACAUCUAAAAGAGAAUCGCUUUGGACAAAUAUUACGUAGCCGCUUCAACAUAAAAAAUAUGGAAGAUAAAAGACAUUUUUUAUAGUUACUCCUUUUAGUUUAAAACUAUGAGAUAACACGAAUGGAAAAAAAAUGAGGCAGAAUUUCAGAACUACUCCAAUAAAAUGGCAUUCAAAUCUUCGAAUGUAUAGCUAUUUUUUGCUGUUUGGCACAUCGAUUUUAGUUGUAUAUACCAGAGGUCAAUACAUUUAAGAAAUGAGGAGAAAUGAAAGAGAUGGUGAGUACUGAUGAACAUGCAUGGCCAAUGUCUAAAGAUACUAAUCACAAUCAAAUUUCCCUAUGGAGGUUAACUGAUUAUCACGAACACGUGGGAAAGAAGGUCGCAGCUCACCCACGUCAUAGAGCUGGCAUAAAAAGUAGGAGCUCAUCAUUUCCCAUUACUCCUGAAAAAUUGUAAAGCAAACAAAAAUUAGUGCUUUGCGACUGACUAGCAAGAACUAGAAAACAAAUUAUUAUAACCAAAGGUGCUCUGAACCCAAAUCUUUUCUUCAUAAACAUGGAGAAACUCUCGUGAAGCACGCCAUAUAAAAAGAUAUUAUAAGAAAGAACACCAGAUAUGAGCUAACAAAAUUAAGUUUAGAAUAUAUGCUAGCAAAUCAAUAAUUGUACAAAAUUAUUGUGGGCCAAAUCAAAUUCAUAUAGGCCACUAACUAAACUGGCAGGAACUAAACUCUUGUAUUUUAACCAAUUGUUCCACAUUAGUCUGAAGCUCUUGUUAUUUCAUUUUUCCAAAUUAGGACUAUCAUUGUAUAAACUGAAUAUGCUUAAAGCCUCUAUCUGAUUUAGCCAAAGCAGGAGAGCAUCUAAUAUAAAAAAAGCGGGGAUCGGCAGCAGUGGUCGCAUUCGGUCACCGGCAACCAUGGAGAACCCCACGGACGCCUCUCUACGGGUCAGCAAUGAGACCGACAGUAUUAUAAGAGCGUUUAGAAAUACUUUACAGAGGGAAUAUUAAGCAAAGAGAACAUUUUCCCUCCAAAGAUUAAAAGACACAGGCACCAAACAGAACAAACAAGCAAACAUAUUCUCAAUUUUCACACAAAAAAAUAGGUAGAGAAGACUGGUUAUACUCAUUUAUUUAAACUGAAUAUGCUUAAAGCCUCUAUCUGAUUUAGCCAAAGCAGGAGAGCAUCUAAUAUAAAUAAAUAGCGGGGGGUCCAAAGAGAAGGGGGCGAAUGGGAGCACGAAGAGGCAAGCCAACCGCCCUCGCUCACCUCAUCGACGCGCGGAUCAAGUACUGAAGCUAGUCAAAAUUCGAAAUAGUUGGCAGUGCACCAAUCCAAAUUAGUACCACCAACGACAUCUAGUCUUUAAUAUGUACAUAUCCUUCCAACCUAGUACUAUUAAGCAACUAUAGUACUACUGUGAAUUGAAAACCAAAGAAUCAUUACAACGUAGAGGCUCUGUUCUUUUAAGGUACAAGCAAGCAAUAGGAAACAUAUUAAAAAGAUGACUACAAAAUGUUGGAAUAUUAGGCAAGUUCAUGAUUAAUUCCAGUAAAUAAUUCAUGACUAGAAGAGAUACUAGCAUGCAAUAAUCUAGCAAACUAGAAGAACAGCAAGACAUGCAUAACAGCAGCAAACACGUAACAAUAGCUGUAGAAACAGACAUGAACAGAGGAUGUUGGACAUACUGAUCGUUAGCUAUUAUGGGUGCGACAGUGUUGAUGACGAUGUUGGCGACGAUCUGC